GAUGGUAUAUGAACUCCUUUUUGUAUGAUCCUUCUCUCUCCUUUGCUUUUUUCUUUUGGAGACAUGGGCUAUCUUUUCUUUUUCUCUCUUUUUUUCAUCAUGCUUUCAUGAGCAUGUACUUUAUUUCUUUUUGCAUAGACCAAGUCUCUUUUGCAAGGAUAACUUUGGAGAGAGAGGUCAUAAAACAGCAUGGAACUUUAUUUUGUGGAUGGAUGAAAUGAUGAUUGCUAUCUUCCAGUUUAGAAGCUUAGUAUAUGGUGGUGGCAUGUACGUGAUCU
Molecule: long non-coding RNA, 278 nt
Filed under: Setaria viridis
Lineage: Eukaryota; Viridiplantae; Streptophyta; Magnoliopsida; Poales; Poaceae
Description: long non-coding RNA (SVIR_LNC009150)
Source: RNAcentral